RNAcentral lists this transfer RNA (72 nucleotides) under Bifidobacterium catenulatum. RNAcentral's name for it is "tRNA-OTHER". It matches the Rfam family "tRNA". Rfam says of the family: Transfer RNA (tRNA) molecules are approximately 80 nucleotides in length. Their secondary structure includes four short double-helical elements and three loops (D, anti-codon, and T loops). RNAcentral also lists the same sequence under 1 other name. The record is from RNAcentral. Lineage: Bacteria; Bacillati; Actinomycetota; Actinomycetes; Bifidobacteriales; Bifidobacteriaceae.
CGCUUCGUCCUUUAACGGUAGGAUGCUCUGUUUUUUUUUGGAGUAAUGCGGGUUCGAAUCCCGUCGAAGCAC